UGGGGAAUUUUGGACAAUGGGGGAAACCCUGAUCCAGCCAUCCCGCGUGUGCGAUGAAGGCCUUCGGGUUGUAAAGCACUUUUGGCAGGAAAGACACGUCAUGGGUUAAUACCCCGUGAAACUGACGGUACCUGCAGAAUAAGCACCGGCUAACUACGUGCCAGCAGCCGCGGUAAUACGUAGGGUGCAAGCGUUAAUCGGAAUUACUGUGCGUAAAGCGUGCGCAGGCGGUUCGGAAAGAAAGAUGUGAAAUCCCAGAGCUCAACUUUGGAACUGCAUUUUUAACUACCGGGCUAGAGUGUGUCAGAGGGAGGUAGAAUUCCGCGUGUAGCAGUGAAAUGCGUAGAUAUGCGGAGGAACACCGAUGGCGAAGGCAGCCUCCUGGGAUAACACUGACGCUCAUGCACGAAAGCGUGGGGAGCAAACAGG
Molecule: ribosomal RNA, 429 nt
Filed under: Acidobacteriota bacterium
Lineage: Bacteria; Pseudomonadati; Acidobacteriota
Description: Acidobacteria bacterium partial 16S ribosomal RNA
Rfam family: Bacterial small subunit ribosomal RNA
Source: RNAcentral